AUUGAACGCUGGCGGCAUGCCUUACACAUGCAAGUCGAACGGCAGCGGGGACUACGGUCCGCCGGCGAGUGGCGAACGGGUGAGUAAUGCAUCGGAACGUACCCGGAAGUGGGGGAUAACGUAGCGAAAGUUACGCUAAUACCGCAUAUUCUGUGAGCAGGAAAGAGGGGGAUCUUCGGACCUCUUGCUUUCGGAGCGGCCGAUGUCAGAUUAGCUAGUUGGUGAGGUAAAGGCUCACCAAGGCGACGAUCUGUAGCGGGUCUGAGAGGAUGAUCCGCCACACUGGAACUGAGACACGGUCCAGACUCCUACGGGAGGCAGCAGUGGGGAAUUUUGGACAAUGGGCGCAAGCCUGAUCCAGCCAUGCCGCGUGAGUGAAGAAGGCCUUCGGGUUGUAAAGCUCUUUCGGCCGGGAAGAAAUCGCAUGGAUUAAUACUCUGUGCGGAUGACGGUACCGGCAUAAGAAGCACCGGCUAACUACGUGCCAGCCGCCGCAGUAA
Molecule: ribosomal RNA, 500 nt
Filed under: uncultured bacterium
Lineage: Bacteria
Description: partial 16S ribosomal RNA
Rfam family: Bacterial small subunit ribosomal RNA
Source: RNAcentral